Molecule: ribosomal RNA, 484 nt
Filed under: uncultured bacterium
Lineage: Bacteria
Description: partial 16S ribosomal RNA
Rfam family: Bacterial small subunit ribosomal RNA
Source: RNAcentral
AUUGAACGCUGGCGGCAUGCUUUACACAUGCAAGUCGAACGGCAGCGCGGGCUUCGGCCUGGCGGCGAGUGGCGAACGGGUGAGUAAUGCAUCGGAACGUGCCCAGUAGUGGGGGAUAGCCCGGCGAAAGCCGGAUUAAUACCGCAUACGACCUGAGGGUGAAAGCGGGGGACCGAAAGGCCUCGCGCUAUUGGAGCGGCCGAUGUCGUAUUAGCUAGUUGGUGGGGUAAAGGCUUACCAAGGCGACGAUCCGUAGCUGGUCUGAGAGGACGACCAGCCACACUGGGACUGAGACACGGCCCAGACUCCUACGGGAGGCAGCAGUGGGGAAUUUUGGACAAUGGGGGCAACCCUGAUCCAGCCAUGCCGCGUGCGGGAAGAAGGCCUUCGGGUUGUAAACCGCUUUUGUUCGGGAAGAAAUCCUCUGGGCUAAUACCCCGGGGGGAUGACGGUACCGGAAGAAUAAGCACCGGCUAACUACGUG